UACGGGGGGGGCAAGCGUUGUUCGGAAUUACUGGGCGUAAAGGGCUCGUAGGUGGCCAACUAAGUCAGACGUGAAAUCCCUCGGCUUAACCGGGGAACUGCCUCUGAUACUGGAUGGCUUGAGUUUGGGAGAGGGACGCGGAAUUCCAGGUGUAGCGGUGAAAUGCGUAGAUAUCUGGAGGAACACCGGUGGCGAAGGCGGCGUCCUGGACCAACACUGACACUGAGGAGCGAAAGCCAGGGGAGCAAACAGG
RNAcentral lists this ribosomal RNA (253 nucleotides) under uncultured bacterium. Its description in RNAcentral is "partial 16S ribosomal RNA". It matches the Rfam family "Bacterial small subunit ribosomal RNA", at positions 524 to 776 of the family's 1533-position model. The record is from RNAcentral.